This 2362-nucleotide ribosomal RNA is filed under the name Escherichia coli. RNAcentral describes it as "partial 23S ribosomal RNA". It matches the Rfam family "Bacterial large subunit ribosomal RNA", at positions 452 to 2799 of the family's 2925-position model. Lineage: Bacteria; Pseudomonadati; Pseudomonadota; Gammaproteobacteria; Enterobacterales; Enterobacteriaceae. The record is from RNAcentral.
ACCAUCCUCCAAGGCUAAAUACUCCUGACUGACCGAUAGUGAACCAGUACCGUGAGGGAAAGGCGAAAAGAACCCCGGCGAGGGGAGUGAAAAAGAACCUGAAACCGUGUACGUACAAGCAGUGGGAGCCUCUUAAUGGGGUGACUGCGUACCUUUUGUAUAAUGGGUCAGCGACUUAUAUUCUGUAGCAAGGUUAACCGAAUAGGGGAGCCGAAGGGAAACCGAGUCUUAACUGGGCGUUAAGUUGCAGGGUAUAGACCCGAAACCCGGUGAUCUAGCCAUGGGCAGGUUGAAGGUUGGGUAACACUAACUGGAGGACCGAACCGACUAAUGUUGAAAAAUUAGCGGAUGACUUGUGGCUGGGGGUGAAAGGCCAAUCAAACCGGGAGAUAGCUGGUUCUCCCCGAAAGCUAUUUAGGUAGCGCCUCGUGAAUUCAUCUCCGGGGGUAGAGCACUGUUUCGGCAAGGGGGUCAUCCCGACUUACCAACCCGAUGCAAACUGCGAAUACCGGAGAAUGUUAUCACGGGAGACACACGGCGGGUGCUAACGUCCGUCGUGAAGAGGGAAACAACCCAGACCGCCAGCUAAGGUCCCAAAGUCAUGGUUAAGUGGGAAACGAUGUGGGAAGGCCCAGACAGCCAGGAUGUUGGCUUAGAAGCAGCCAUCAUUUAAAGAAAGCGUAAUAGCUCACUGGUCGAGUCGGCCUGCGCGGAAGAUGUAACGGGGCUAAACCAUGCACCGAAGCUGCGGCAGCGACACUAUGUGUUGUUGGGUAGGGGAGCGUUCUGUAAGCCUGUGAAGGUGUGCUGUGAGGCAUGCUGGAGGUAUCAGAAGUGCGAAUGCUGACAUAAGUAACGAUAAAGCGGGUGAAAAGCCCGCUCGCCGGAAGACCAAGGGUUCCUGUCCAACGUUAAUCGGGGCAGGGUGAGUCGACCCCUAAGGCGAGGCCGAAAGGCGUAGUCGAUGGGAAACAGGUUAAUAUUCCUGUACUUGGUGUUACUGCGAAGGGGGGACGGAGAAGGCUAUGUUGGCCGGGCGACGGUUGUCCCGGUUUAAGCGUGUAGGCUGGUUUUCCAGGCAAAUCCGGAAAACCAAGGCUGAGGCGUGAUGACGAGGCACUACGGUGCUGAAGCGACAAAUGCCCUGCUUCCAGGAAAAGCCUCUAAGCAUCAGGUAACAUCAAAUCGUACCCCAAACCGACACAGGUGGUCAGGUAGAGAAUACCAAGGCGCUUGAGAGAACUCGGGUGAAGGAACUAGGCAAAAUGGUGCCGUAACUUCGGGAGAAGGCACGCUGAUAUGUAGGUGAAGCGACUUGCUCGUGGAGCUGAAAUCAGUCGAAGAUACCAGCUGGCUGCAACUGUUUAUUAAAAACACAGCACUGUGCAAACACGAAAGUGGACGUAUACGGUGUGACGCCUGCCCGGUGCCGGAAGGUUAAUUGAUGGGGUUAGCGGUAACGCGAAGCUCUUGAUCGAAGCCCCGGUAAACGGCGGCCGUAACUAUAACGGUCCUAAGGUAGCGAAAUUCCUUGUCGGGUAAGUUCCGACCUGCACGAAUGGCGUAAUGAUGGCCAGGCUGUCUCCACCCGAGACUCAGUGAAAUUGAACUCGCUGUGAAGAUGCAGUGUACCCGCGGCAAGACGGAAAGACCCCGUGAACCUUUACUAUAGCUUGACACUGAACAUUGAGCCUUGAUGUGUAGGAUAGGUGGGAGGCUUUGAAGUGUGGACGCCAGUCUGCAUGGAGCCGACCUUGAAAUACCACCCUUUAAUGUUUGAUGUUCUAACGUUGGCCCGUAAUCCGGGUUGCGGACAGUGUCUGGUGGGUAGUUUGACUGGGGCGGUCUCCUCCUAAAGAGUAACGGAGGAGCACGAAGGUUGGCUAAUCCUGGUCGGACAUCAGGAGGUUAGUGCAAUGGCAUAAGCCAGCUUGACUGCGAGCGUGACGGCGCGAGCAGGUGCGAAAGCAGGUCAUAGUGAUCCGGUGGUUCUGAAUGGAAGGGCCAUCGCUCAACGGAUAAAAGGUACUCCGGGGAUAACAGGCUGAUACCGCCCAAGAGUUCAUAUCGACGGCGGUGUUUGGCACCUCGAUGUCGGCUCAUCACAUCCUGGGGCUGAAGUAGGUCCCAAGGGUAUGGCUGUUCGCCAUUUAAAGUGGUACGCGAGCUGGGUUUAGAACGUCGUGAGACAGUUCGGUCCCUAUCUGCCGUGGGCGCUGGAGAACUGAGGGGGGCUGCUCCUAGUACGAGAGGACCGGAGUGGACGCAUCACUGGUGUUCGGGUUGUCAUGCCAAUGGCACUGCCCGGUAGCUAAAUGCGGAAGAGAUAAGUGCUGAAAGCAUCUAAGCACGAAACUUGCCC